This is an RNA transcript of Triticum dicoccoides, 2847 nucleotides long. RefSeq lists it as uncharacterized. The record is from RefSeq and is a predicted model, not a curated record. NCBI's taxonomy places the organism in Eukaryota, Viridiplantae, Streptophyta, Magnoliopsida, Poales, Poaceae. The transcript has 8 exons.
GCCCCUCCACGAUCCCUACACAGGUCGCCGCACACCACCGCCACCGCCGCUGUGAAUCCCCGGGGACACCGCACGCCACCGCCGCCGCGAAUCCCCAGGGACGCCGCACGCCACCGCCGUCGCGAAUCACCAGAGACGCCGCUCGCCGCCGCCGCGAAUCCCUAGGGAUGUCGCCGCCACCGCCACGGAUCCCCAAGGGCUUGGUCGCAUUGCCCUGAUUGGAGGAGACCCUGCCGGCCUUGCCUUGUUUGAAGGACCGUGUGCGUCAAUCCCGACCUCUGCUUUCCCCCUUUUCCACCAAGGAUCGCCGCCGCUGCUUCGUCUUCUAUCUCUCCGGAUCCCCAUCAGCACCUGCUGGAUGGUGCUCCAGAACAGGGCCGCACGGAGGCCCUCCUCCCGUAGGAUGUGCAGACGCGGCGCGCCUUGCAGCGGCUGUUCGGAAUGAGCGCGGGCGCGACAACCUUGUCCCAGUCGACGAUGGCGGCGGCGAACACCGGUGCUCCUUCUCGUCCUCUACCUCCAAGGAAGCGCACCGGUACAGCUCAGGCACCCCCGUCCCCAAAUCCCGUCCACCCAUCCGAUGUUGUCCAGCUCAUCCUCACGCUCGUGGAUUCGCCUCCUCCUAUACACGACACUUGAAACAUGGACGUGGUGGAGGUAGUCAUGCUGGCGCCACUGUUUUGCUUCGUGCUGAUGUGGUAUAAAAGUGCCUCCUCGGCAGAUGAGGACCUGAGCGUGGCCGUGCUAAUGAGGAUGCAGGAUCCACCGCCACCGGCCAGUCCGAGUGAUUGCAGAGAACUUGGCAGGCAGAUCAAUUACGAGGAGGUCAAGGCUGAGCUGAAGUGGGGUGGGUGCCAACAUGAAGGAGUUGGAGAUAUCUCUAUUUUUGUCAGUCAUUAUUCAGGCUCUAAGCAUCCCCUUUCCCUAUACCACAUUACUUGAUAUUAUUAAAUUCAGUACUCUUACUCAACUGUGAACAAGUUCAUGUGGUAAGUAGGAUCAACAAGAGUUGGCUGGCAACUGCUAUGUAUAUGUUAUUAUGGAUCAGCCAAGGUGGUUAAAUUUUAAGUUUUUUCCUUUUUCUUAAUUUAUGCCCUUAAGUUUAUGUUGUUAAAUGCAUACACAUAACUUAGUUCCAGAUUUAACAAGAGUACAUUUUCCAAUGAACUUCAUAGCUGAUGUUGAUCAUAAUUAGUAAGUGUACAAAGCAUUUCAAGGAAUUUCUGUCUUGUGCAUAUUGUAUAUUGCAGACUUGCAGUGAAGUAGUGCCAUCUAAGUACCAGAUGUAUGUUAUUUUCAAAUAAGCUUUUCUUAAAAUGGAAAAUACUAAAAAGCAAAUUGUGCCACACCGUGCAAUUAAGGUGCCUUUUACUGGAAACUCAAUGCAACUUCUUGUUAUUUUCAAAUAAGCUUUUCUUAAAAUGGAAAAAUACUAAAAAAGCGGAUUGUGCCACACCGUGCAAUUAAGGUGCCUUUUACUGGAAACUCAAUCCGACUUCUUGUUAUUCCUUCUGAACGUAGCAAUUAAGCCAUAUCUUGUUUUCACUCCUUCUGAACCUAGCAAAAUGACCUGCUUGGACCGAACGAGGACAGGUGUGUGGUGGUGGACAUAAGAUGCACGGCGAACAUUGAGCCGCAGAAGAACAUUAUGAAAGAGGUUGGAGAGGCUGGAGGAGACCAUAUACCAACACAAAGCGCAUCUUGAUGGCCAUCAAUGAGGAGCCGGACCUGCUACACCAGGCUAAUUGCAAGCAUCGGGAUGAUUUGGACGAGAUGACUGAUGAGGACAUGAGCGUUGUCGGAUGACUUGGACGAGAGGACUGUAGCAUGACGCAAUGAAGAGCCAGAUCGUCCGUCCGCUCCCAGCUCACUUCCCAGUUCUGUUGUGCUGCCCCGUGCACCAACCAUCCAGUAAAGACAUGAGUACUUUAUCAUCUUUCCAGGAAGAAAUUACUAGAGAGAAGAGAACUCAGUUUUAUAAGCAAUGAUAGUCCAACAUCAUAUUGACACGUCUGGUUUCUCUUUCCACAAGCAGGGUCGAGUGGGUUGAAAAUAAAUGCUGGAAAAGAUAUUAAAAUUCAAAUCUGGCUUAUUUUUCUCAAUAUGGGUUCAGAAGGAAAUUGUCGUUGAGCUUCUAUCUAAAGGCACUUUUUCAUUAGAUUUCAGCAGCGGCUGAUGGUAGCAACCUCAUGGGCCACACAUCCCCUUCUUUAAUUGCAUGCCCUCACAAAAUGGAUGGGGACUUGGUUCUUUGGUUGUCGCCGCUGGACUCGGUGAAGGACGAAAAACUGAGAUGAUCCAGUGGAGAAUAGAUGCCACGGGCUGAAGAAAGGAGGCGACGGUUUCAGAGCACACACCUUGAAGUGGAGAGGCGACAAGGGAGUACGUCUGGAUGGCAGAGGGAGCGGGACAAGGCAACAUCACAUGGGAGGCAUGGUCAAAAUCGGCGUCAUAGGAGCAAUCAUGCGUGUGGGGGUCGUACCAGGGAGAAGGAAAAGGGUGGUCGGUUUUCUAGGGCUUUUUUCCUUGCAUCGGGAAAUGGGUUCGGUUGAAAAAAAUGAUGAUGUGGGGAGAUCACGCGAGUGGUGGAUACGUGGGUACCAUUUAACGUACCAACUGCGCUUUAAUAGUAGAGAUUAAGAUGUUGAUAUUUUAUUCAUUUUCUUCUUAGCUGAACAUUCUUUAAACCAAAAAUCUAUGAAACUUGUAAUGUAUCAUGGUCGCAAUUUGUGAAGUAGAACUAACUAUCCUUUGACCAUUCAUUAAUUUUUAUGUACUUGUCGCCCGUGACAACAAAUAUGGAUCAAAUAACUAUGCACUAUGGGCACUAAUAUGGUUACCUUCGAA